This 67-nucleotide transfer RNA is filed under the name Cricetulus griseus (Chinese hamster). The record is from Rfam by way of RNAcentral. Lineage: Eukaryota; Metazoa; Chordata; Mammalia; Rodentia; Cricetidae.
AGAUGGCUCAGUGGAUAAGAGCCCUGGGUCCUUUUCCAGAGGACCUGGGUUUGAUUCCCAGCAUCUA